RNAcentral lists this ribosomal RNA (440 nucleotides) under uncultured bacterium. RNAcentral describes it as "partial 16S ribosomal RNA". It matches the Rfam family "Bacterial small subunit ribosomal RNA", at positions 338 to 795 of the family's 1533-position model. The record is from RNAcentral.
CCUACGGGUGACAGCAGUGGGGAAUAUUGCACAAUGGGGGAAACCCUGAUGCAGCGACGCCGCGUGAGUGAAGAAGUAUUUCGGUACGUAAAGCUCUAUCAGCAGGGAAGAAAAUGACGGUACCUGACUAAGAAGCCCCGGCUAACUACGUGCCAGCAGCCGCGGUAAUACGUAGGGGGCAAGCGUUAUCCGGAUUUACUGGGUGUAAAGGGAGCGUAGAUGGCAGCGCAAGUCUGGAGUGAAAUCCCAUGGCUUAACCAUGGAACUGCUUUGGAAACUGUGCAGCUAGAGUGCAGGAGAGGUAAGCGGAAUUCCUAGUGUAGCGGUGAAAUGCGUAGAUAUUAGGAGGAACACCAGUGGCGAAGGCGGCUUACUGGACUGUAACUGACGUUGAGGCUCGAAAGCGUGGGGAGCAAACAGGAUUAGAUACCCGAGUAGUC